RNAcentral lists this ribosomal RNA (510 nucleotides) under uncultured bacterium. RNAcentral describes it as "bacterial SSU rRNA". It matches the Rfam family "Bacterial small subunit ribosomal RNA", at positions 28 to 507 of the family's 1533-position model. The record is from RNAcentral.
GACGAACGCUGGCGGCGUGCUUAACACAUGCAAGUCGAACGAGAGGAGAAGGAAGCUUGCUUCUUUCAAAUCUAGUGGCAAACGGGUGAGUAACACGUAAACAACCUGCCUUCAGGAUGGGGACAACAGACGGAAACGACUGCUAAUAUCGAAUACGUUCCUUAGGUCGCAUGACUUUAGGAAGAAAGGGUGGCCUCUACUUGUAAGCUAUCGCCUGAAGAGGGGUUUGCGUCUGAUUAGGUAGUUGGAGGGGUAACGGCCCACCAAGGCGACGAUCAGUAGCCGGUCUGAGAGGAUGAACGGCCACAUUGGGACUGAGACACGGCCCAGACUCCUACGGGAGGCAGCAGUGGGGAAUCUUCCGCAAUGGGCGCAAGCCUGACGGAGCAACGCCGCGUGAGUGAAGAAGGUCUUCGGAUCGUAAAGCUCUGUUGAGAGGGACGAGAGAUAUAAUCAGGAAAUGGGUUAUAGAGGACGGUACCUUUCGAGGAAGCCACGGCUAACUACGUG